GCCAGGCGUGGUGGUGCACGCCUGUAGUCCCAGCUACUUGGGAGGCUGAGGCAGGAGAAUUGCUUGAACCUGGGAGGCGGAGAUUGCAGUGAGCCGAGAUCGCGCCACUGCACUCCAGCCUGGGUGACAGAGCGAGACUCUGUCUCAA
This is an unclassified non-coding RNA of Pongo abelii (Sumatran orangutan), 148 nucleotides long. It matches the Rfam family "Metazoan signal recognition particle RNA". From Rfam's summary of the family: The signal recognition particle (SRP) is a universally conserved ribonucleoprotein. It is involved in the co-translational targeting of proteins to membranes. Lineage: Eukaryota; Metazoa; Chordata; Mammalia; Primates; Hominidae. The record is from Ensembl.